Molecule: ribosomal RNA, 406 nt
Filed under: uncultured bacterium
Lineage: Bacteria
Description: partial 16S ribosomal RNA
Rfam family: Bacterial small subunit ribosomal RNA
Source: RNAcentral
AUUGAACGCUGGCGGCAGGCCUAACACAUGCAAGUCGAACGAGCGGCGGACGGGUGAGUAAUGUCUGGGAAACUGCCCGAUGGAUGGGGAUAACUACUGGAAACGGUAGCUAAUACCACAUACUAUCGGAUGUGCCCAUAUGGGAUUAGCUAGUAGGUGGGGUAACGGCUCACCUAGGCGACGAUCACUAGCUGGUCUGAGAGGAUGACCAGCCACACUGGAACUGAGACACGGUCCAGACUCCUACGGGAGGCAGCAGUGGGGAAUAUUGCACAAUGGGCGCAAGCCUGAUACAGCCAUGCCGCGUGUAUGAAGAAGGCCUUCGGGUUGUAAAGUACUUUCAGCGAGGAGGCGUUACUCGCAGAAGAAGCACCGGCUAACUCCGUGCCAGCAGCCGCGGUAAUUC